This is a non-coding RNA of Pelobates cultripes (western spadefoot toad), 92 nucleotides long. Lineage: Eukaryota; Metazoa; Chordata; Amphibia; Anura; Pelobatidae. The record is from the annotation of a GenBank genome assembly.
UUAUGUGUGUGUGUGUGUGUGUGUAUGGACUCAGCAGUCCAUACAUACACACACACACACAGAUUGCUGAGUCCAUACAUACACAUAGACUG